AAAGAUCUGAUUUUUUUUUUGAAGAUGGAUAGAGUUGCAUAGUGUUCAUCGAACUAGCGGAAGUGAGGAUUCAAAGUCUAAGCUUCCGGAUUUCUGGCAAUUUUUUUUUUGAGUUUUUUGUUUUUUAGGGGUUUAUUGUAUAUAGUUGUUGAUUGUGGGGAUCAGAGAAAAGGGGUUGGAAAAAGUUUGAUUUUUGAAGUGAAAAUGUCAAAGGUGGUGUAUGAUGGGUGGAUGGUUAGGUAUGGGCGGAGGAAGAUUGGCAGAUCCUAUAUUCAUAUGCGGUAUUUUGUUCUGGAGACGCGAUUGUUGGCUUACUACAAGAGAAAGCCUCAGGAUAAUGUGGUUCCAAUCAAGACACUUCCCAUCGAUGGUAAUUGUCGGGUGGAGGACCGAGGCCUGAAGACUCAUCAUGGACACAUGGUUUAUGUCUUAUCAGUUUACAACAAGAAAGACAAGUAUAACCGUGUCACGAUGGCAGCUUUCAACAUUCAGGAGGCACUUAUUUGGA
This 508-nucleotide unclassified non-coding RNA is filed under the name Hevea brasiliensis (rubber tree). Lineage: Eukaryota; Viridiplantae; Streptophyta; Magnoliopsida; Malpighiales; Euphorbiaceae. The record is from RNAcentral.